RNAcentral lists this ribosomal RNA (253 nucleotides) under uncultured bacterium. RNAcentral's name for it is "partial 16S ribosomal RNA". It matches the Rfam family "Bacterial small subunit ribosomal RNA", at positions 524 to 776 of the family's 1533-position model. The record is from RNAcentral.
UACGUAUGGUGCAAGCGUUAUCCGGAUUUACUGGGUGUAAAGGGGGCGCAGACGGCGCGGCAAGUCCGGAGUGAAAUCCCAGGGCCCAACCCUGGGGCUGCUCUGGAAACUGCCGGGCUGGAGUGCUGGAGGGGCAGGCGGAAUUCCUAGUGUAGCGGUGAAAUGCGUAGAUAUUAGGAGGAACACCAGUGGCGAAGGCGGUCUGCUGGACAGCAACUGACGGUAAGGCGCGAAAGCGUGGGGAGCAAACAGG